UACGUAGGUGGCAAGCGUUAUCCGGAUUUAUUGGGUUUAAAGGGAGCGUAGGCCGGUCUUUAAGCGUGCCGUGAAAUUUUGUGGCUCAACCAUGAGAGUGCGGCGCGAACUGGAGGCCUUGAGUGCACACAGGGGUGCCGGAAUUCAUGGUGUAGCGGUGAAAUGCUUAGAUAUCAUGAAGAACUCCGAUCGCGAAGGCAAGUGUCCGGGGUGCAACUGACGCUGAGGCUCGAAAGUGCGGGUAUCAAACAGG
RNAcentral lists this ribosomal RNA (253 nucleotides) under uncultured bacterium. Its description in RNAcentral is "partial 16S ribosomal RNA". It matches the Rfam family "Bacterial small subunit ribosomal RNA", at positions 524 to 776 of the family's 1533-position model. The record is from RNAcentral.